UUAAACGGGGGAAGGCCCUUACCAAGUCUUGACAUCCCGAUGACCAACUAUGUAAUGUAGUCUCUCUUCGGAGCAUCGGUGACAGGUGGUGCAUGGUUGUCGUCAGCUCGUGUCGUGAGAUGUUGGGUUAAGUCCCGCAACGAGCGCAACCCUUGUCCUUAGUAGCCAGCAGUUCGGCUGGGCACUCUAGGGAGACUGCCAGGGUUAACCUGGAGGAAGGUGGGGAUGACGUCAAAUCAUCAUGCCCCUUAUGACUUGGGCUACACACGUGCUACAAUGGCGUAAACAAAGGGACGCGAAGUCGUGAGGCCAAGCAAAUCUCAAAAAUAACGUCUCAGUUCGGAUUGUAGUCUGCAACUCGACUACAUGAAGCUGGAAUCGCUAGUAAUCGCGGAUCAAAAUGCCGCGGUGAAUACGUUCCCGGGUUUG
RNAcentral lists this ribosomal RNA (429 nucleotides) under uncultured rumen bacterium. Its description in RNAcentral is "bacterial SSU rRNA". It matches the Rfam family "Bacterial small subunit ribosomal RNA", at positions 955 to 1381 of the family's 1533-position model. The record is from RNAcentral.